UGGGGAAUAUUGGACAAUGGGCGAAAGCCUGAUCCAGCCAUGCCGCGUGUGUGAAGAAGGUCUUCGGAUUGUAAAGCACUUUAAGUUGGGAGGAAGGGCAUUAACCUAAUACGUUAGUGUUUUGACGUUACCGACAGAAUAAGCACCGGCUAACUCUGUGCCAGCAGCCGCGGUAAUACAGAGAGUGCAAGCGUUAAUCGGAAUUACUGGGCGUAAAGCGCGCGUAGGUGGUUUGUUAAGUUGGAUGUGAAAUCCCCGGGCUCAACCUGGGAACUGCAUUCAAAACUGACUGACUAGAGUAUGGUAGAGGGUGGUGGAAUUUCCUGUGUAGCGGUGAAAUGCGUAGAUAUAGGAAGGAACACCAGUGGCGAAGGCGACCACCUGGACUAAUACUGACACUGAGGUGCGAAAGCGUGGGGAGCAAACA
RNAcentral lists this ribosomal RNA (427 nucleotides) under uncultured bacterium. RNAcentral's name for it is "partial 16S ribosomal RNA". It matches the Rfam family "Bacterial small subunit ribosomal RNA", at positions 355 to 774 of the family's 1533-position model. The record is from RNAcentral.